GUUCCUUGUUUUUCCCCGCUGUUCCCCGUGUUCCUAGCGUUUAGCGCUUUUCUCCUUGGUAAAGUGAUUACUCGUGCUUCUGACCUCUGCCUGCCCUACAACUAUUCUCCUGCUUAUUCCCUGUUUGGUUUUGUUUGCAAUUGUUGGACUGCCUACCUGUGUACCGAACUCGGAUAGUAAAACGUUUCACCCUUUGAAUCUCCCCCUGUGCUGAGUCGUGCGAUUGAGUCCUGCACAACACCCAUCAGUCGUAACAGUACGAAGACGCCCAGGAUGGACUCAGCCGACUCAGACUCAGUGCUCAGACGUAGUUUGAGCAAACAAGCCUCCUCUCUCUGCCUCGUGGCAAGGGGAAUAGAGGAGCAAGAGAGAAGUUCCCUGAAGUUCCUGAGCCUGCUGUGGGGACAAUUCGAGCAGCUCCUGGCUCGUUGGGAUUCCCUCGAUCCACUCCCCUUCUUUCCAGCUCCGGUUUCAGCACCAGCUCCAGGUCUCCUGUCGCCCGCCUUCAAAAGAGCCACGGCCGCCUUCGAGGCAGCCGCUGCCGCUGUCAACCUCGAGCAAGUGUCUAUCGCUACCACCCUCAACGCGGUCUCUGACGCCCUCCACGCAGCCCGUGGAGCUCCCUCCCUUGAAGCACGCUCCGCCGUCCUCGAAGCUGCCUUUGCAGCAUUGGAAAUAUUUUCUGCCGCACCCAAAGGAGCCUCUGGCGCUGCCUUGCUCUGUGCAGCUUCUGCUGCCAUCGAUGCAGUCUCUGCCGCCCUCGAAGCAGCCUCUGAUGCUGCCGCCUCCGAGGUCGUCUCUGCUGCCCCAGAGGUAGCCUUCGUCGCUACCACUCCCAAAGCAGCCUCUGUCGUUACCACCCCCGAAGCAGCCUCUGACGCUGCCGCCCCAGAAGCAGCCUCUGACGCUGCCGCCUCCGACGUAGCCGCUGUCGCUACCACCCCAGAAGCAGCCUCUGACGCUGCCGCCCCCGACGUAGCCUCUGUCGUUACCACCCCCGAAGCAGCCUCUGACGCUGCCGCCCCAGAAGCAGCCUCUGACGCUGCCGCCUCCGACGUAGCCUCUGUCGCUACCACCCCAGAAGCAGCCUCUGACGCUGCCGCCCCCGACGUAGCCUCUGUCGCUACCACCCCAGAAGCAGCCUCUGACGCUGCCGCCCCCGACGUAGCCUCUGUCGCUACCACCCCAGAAGCAUCCUCUGACGCUGCCGCCCCGGAAGCAGCCUCUGACGCUGCCGCCCCCGACGUAGC
This is a long non-coding RNA of Clupea harengus (Atlantic herring), 1250 nucleotides long. Lineage: Eukaryota; Metazoa; Chordata; Actinopteri; Clupeiformes; Clupeidae. The record is from Ensembl.